GACGAACGCUGGCGGCGUGCUUAACACAUGCAAGUCGAACGAUGAAGCAAAGAAUUGCAGCUUCGGCAGAAAUUCAUUUCGGAUUAGUGGCAGACGGGUGAGUAACGCGUGAGCAACCUACCUCUUACAAAGGGAUAGCCUCGGGAAACCGGGAUUAAUACCAUAUAACAUUGCGACGAAGCAUUUCGAUGCAAUCAAAGCUACGGCGGUAAGAGAUGGGCUCGCGUCCCAUUAACCAGAUGGUGAGGUAACGGCUCACCAUAGUAACGAUGGGUAACCGGCCUGAGAGGGUGAACGGUCACACUGGUACUGAGACACGGUCCAGACUCCUACGGGAGGCAGCAGUGGGGAAUAUUGCACAAUGGAGGGAACUCUGAUGCAGCGACGCCGCGUGAGUGAUGAAGGAAUUCGUUUCGUAAAACUCUGUUCUAUGGGAAGAAAAGGACUGUACCAUAGGAGAAAGCUCCGGCUAAAUACGUG
This 480-nucleotide ribosomal RNA is filed under the name uncultured bacterium. Its description in RNAcentral is "partial 16S ribosomal RNA". It matches the Rfam family "Bacterial small subunit ribosomal RNA", at positions 28 to 507 of the family's 1533-position model. The record is from RNAcentral.